CUACGGGGGGCAGCAGUGGGGAAUAUUGGACAAUGGGCGAAAGCCUGAUCCAGCCAUGCCGCGUGUGUGAAGAAGGCCUUCGGGUUGUAAAGCACUUUCAGUGGGGAAGAAAGCCUUGGGGCUAAUACCCUCGAGGAAGGACAUCACCCACAGAAGAAGCACCGGCUAACUCCGUGCCAGCAGCCGCGGUAAUACGGAGGGGUGCGAGCGUUAAUCGGAAUUACUGGGCGUAAAGCGCGCGUAGGCGGUCUGAUAAGCCGGUUGUGAAAGCCCCGGGCUCAACCUGGGAACGGCAUCCGGAACUGUCAGGCUAGAGUGCAGGAGAGGAAGGUAGAAUUCCCGGUGUAGCGGUGAAAUGCGUAGAGAUCGGGAGGAAUACCAGUGGCGAAGGCGGCCUUCUGGACUGACACUGACGCUGAGGUGCGAAAGCGUGGGUAGCAAACAGGAUUAGAUACCCGUGUAGUC
This 465-nucleotide ribosomal RNA is filed under the name Vreelandella stevensii. RNAcentral describes it as "partial 16S ribosomal RNA". It matches the Rfam family "Bacterial small subunit ribosomal RNA", at positions 339 to 795 of the family's 1533-position model. Lineage: Bacteria; Pseudomonadati; Pseudomonadota; Gammaproteobacteria; Oceanospirillales; Halomonadaceae. The record is from RNAcentral.